GACGAACGCUGGCGGCGUGCUUAACACAUGCAAGUCGAACGGUAAGGCCCUGCUUUUGUGCGGUGCUCGAGUGCCGAACGGGUGAGUAACACGUGAGUAACCUGCCCUUGACUUUGGGAUAACUUCAGGAAACUGGGGCUAAUACCGGGUAGAAUAUCCUGCUGCAUGGGGGGGGUUGGAAAGAUUCGCCGGUUCGGGAUGGAAGCGCGGCUUAUCAGCUUGUUGGUGGGGUAGUGGAUUACCAAGGCGUGGACGGGUUGCCGGCCUGCGAGGGUGACCGGGCACAUUGGGACUGGGGUAGGGCCAAGAGUGAUACGGGAGGCAGCAGCGGGGAACAUUGCACAAAGGGCGGAAGCCGGAUGCAGCAACGCCGCGUGCGGGAUGACGGCCGGCGGGGUGUAAAGCGCGUUCGCGUGGGACGAAGAGUGAGUGACGGUAAUGGGUAAAGAAGCACCGGCUAACUACGUG
This 468-nucleotide ribosomal RNA is filed under the name uncultured bacterium. Its description in RNAcentral is "partial 16S ribosomal RNA". It matches the Rfam family "Bacterial small subunit ribosomal RNA", at positions 28 to 507 of the family's 1533-position model. The record is from RNAcentral.